UACAGAGGUCUCAAGCGUUGUUCGGAAUCACUGGGCGUAAAGGGUGCGCAGGUUGCGCAGACAGUCAAUUGUGGAAUUCAGGGGCUCAACCCCUGCGCUGCACUUGAUACUUCUGUGCUCGAGCCCUGGAGGGGAGUCUGGAAUUCUCGGUGUAGCAGUGAAAUGCGUAGAUAUCGAGAGGAACGCCAACGGCGAAAGCAAGACUCUGGACAGGUGCUGACACUCAUGCACGAAGGCUAGGGUAGCAAACGGG
Molecule: ribosomal RNA, 253 nt
Filed under: uncultured bacterium
Lineage: Bacteria
Description: partial 16S ribosomal RNA
Rfam family: Bacterial small subunit ribosomal RNA
Source: RNAcentral